UACAAACCGAAUCAUAAUGAAAAGCAUCAUUUGAUUACUCACACAUACACAUAUACAUAUUUAAACAUUCAACAUCUUGUUCCUCUGUUAAGCCAAAUUACUAGACCUUUACAAGAUAUAACAUAUCAUGAUAAACCCUUACCAUAUUCGAACUUAUAUAUAUAUCAUCUAAUGCUCAUUCACAUAUUAACACCUAUAUCAAAUAUAACAACAAAUUUCAUAUAUAUCUAUACCCAACCAAAAUCGAAUCAUCUAACCAUACUUGUGAAAAUUUAUAUACACCAUGACCG
Molecule: long non-coding RNA, 290 nt
Filed under: Gossypium barbadense (sea-island cotton)
Lineage: Eukaryota; Viridiplantae; Streptophyta; Magnoliopsida; Malvales; Malvaceae
Description: long non-coding RNA (GBAR_LNC005429)
Source: RNAcentral